This is an RNA transcript of Tarenaya hassleriana, 1930 nucleotides long. It is a transcript of the gene named casein kinase 1-like protein 3, with no coding region annotated. The transcript is spliced from 16 exons. The record is from RefSeq and is a predicted model, not a curated record. NCBI's taxonomy places the organism in Eukaryota, Viridiplantae, Streptophyta, Magnoliopsida, Brassicales, Cleomaceae.
UAUGGUCAGAUAAAAACCCUAGGUCCCUUAUCUCUAUGCGAUUGAUCCUGAAUCGAUCGUGACCGGAGGAGCCAAUGGAACGCGUCAUUGGCGGAAAAUACAAGCUCGGACGGAAGAUCGGCGGCGGAUCCUUCGGGGAAAUCUUUCUUGCUACCCACAUCGAUACUUUCGAGAUCGUCGCUGUUAAGAUCGAGAACAGUAAAACAAAGCAUCCUCAACUUCUCUACGAAGCCAAGUUAUACAAAAUUCUUGAAGGAGGAAGUGGAAUUCCGCGGAUAAAAUGGUUUGGAGUGGAUGGGUCAGAAAAUGCAUUGGUGAUUGAUUUGCUAGGGCCAAGUCUCGAAGAUCUAUUCGUGUAUUGUGGGAGGAAGUUCUCACUGAAGACAGUCUUGAUGUUAGCUGAUCAAAUGCUAACUAGGAUAGAGUACGUGCACUCCAAAGGAUACCUACACAGAGACAUAAAACCUGAUAACUUUCUCAUGGGCCUUGGACGUAAAGCAAAUCAGGUUUACUUGAUCGACUUUGGGCUUGCCAAAAGAUAUCGAGAUGCCAGCACCAACCGCCAUAUCCCUUACAGGGAAAACAAGAAUUUAACUGGAACUGCACGGUAUGCAAGUUGCAAUACUCAUCUUGGAAUUGAGCAAAGUCGAAGAGAUGAUCUAGAAUCACUUGGAUAUGUGCUUCUAUAUUUUUUAAGAGGAAGUCUUCCGUGGCAGGGUCUUAAAGCUGUUGACAAAAAACAGAAGUAUGACAAAAUUUGUGAGAAGAAGAUAUCAACUCCUAUCGAGGUUCUGUGCAAAAAUCACCCUGUGGAGUUUGCUUCGUAUUUCCAUUACUGCCACACGUUGACAUUUGAUCAGCGUCCUGACUAUGGUUUCUUGAAGCGUCUUUUCCGUGAUUUGUUUUCACGUGAAGGAUGUGAGUUUGACUAUGUGUUUGAUUGGACCAUAAUAAAGUAUCAGCAGGCACAGAAAACUAGAAAUCAAUCUCGGCAGGCAGUUCCUGGGUCUAGUAAUGCUCGUGCAAUGCCAAUGGAAAGCAACAAUCAUCAAGGAGGAACCAAUGCUUCUUAUGGACCUGAGGUGUCUGAACGCAUCAGAUCAGCCACUGCUAUUGGUCCGGGCCCUCAGUUGAAUUUUAAUCCUGCUACAGGCAGGACUCUGGGUUAUGACCAGCCCACGGACAAGAAUAUGUCAGGGCGGGUGAACAUGCCAUCCACUUCGUUUUCACCAGCUGGCACCUCUAAAAGAAAUGUAGCAGUGCCUGGUUUUCCUGCCGGUGCUGAAUCUUCAAAUCCCGGGUAUGGGAGUGGAAAUAGAACCGGUAUAUCUGGAGGCUGGACCUCUUCAUUUCACAACAUCUCUUCGGGCAAGCGAUGAUGCAAAGAAGUUGCGGAGAAUCGAUAAUGACAGUCUUGGUUGGGUAGAACAAACAAACAUGUGCCAAACACCUGUGUAUAUUGUCGAGGAGUGUCUGCUGAGGCAGUAAAGGGGAGAUGCGGAGGAACGUGCUGUGAUAGGGAUAGCAGAUGUGUGUAAUUUCUCAGAAGAAGAAGGCACACGUGUUUCUCUCAAGGCAAAAUUUCGAACGCAUUGGUUUGUGACAAACAAGGCAAUGAAGUAAACCUGAGACCCCGGCUUCGAGCAGAGGCUAGAGAGAGGUGUCUACAAGCCGGUCGUCUGGAAAGCUCGGGUAAGAGCAUGUAGAUUUGCGGGUGCAGAGGUUUGUUAAAAGGAAUUCAGAGGUGAUGGGUGCAAAUGAAUGGAUAAGAGGAUGAUGGGUUAUAACUUACAUAUGCUUUUGAUGAUGCCUGGUUUUGGAACAGUUUUCUCAGUCAUGGAUGGACAUGAGAGACAAGAGAUAGUAGAGUUCUUUUGCUUCAGACUGUUGGGGGGUUUUUUUUUUUUUUGUUAUUGAGUUUGUUUAUGGA